This 1278-nucleotide long non-coding RNA is filed under the name Canis lupus familiaris (dog). RNAcentral describes it as "lncRNA (ENSCAFG00030017343.1)". The record is from RNAcentral. Lineage: Eukaryota; Metazoa; Chordata; Mammalia; Carnivora; Canidae.
AUGCCCAGUGGCCGGCACUUGGGGGCGCUCACUACUCUGGAGGGACCUCCGGCAAGUUCGCCUCGCUGCGAGGCGGGAGCUCGCCACCCGAGAGCGGAGUUCGAGUCCUGCCGCCCCCGCGAGUGGACACCGCACGCCCACCGGCGGCUCCAGGCCGGCCCCGGAGACGGGGACUCCAGUGCUGCGGGCGCCGAGCACCCCCUUCCCAGGGUCGGGGGCCCGGCGGGGGAAACGCCCUCUGGCUGUGGGAACGGGGUCCCCGCGGCGGGUGCGGAGGCCCGAGUGGGGGUGCGGACGGGGGCCGCAGCGGGAGGGGAGGAGGCGGGGAGCCCGGCGGGCGCCCGGUCCUCGAGCGCCGCCGAGUCCGCGGGGCGCGCUCUUCGGCGCGCGGCCGGUGUGCAGAGCGCGCCCCCGGGUCGCUGCGGGCGCCGCCGCGGGCUCAGCAGGUGCAGGUGCUCUCCCGGGGCUGCGGGAGAACUCUCCCAACUCUCCGAGGGCGCCGUCCGGGGGCGCGGCCAACUGCGCCCGGGCGCCUGCCACGUCCCCGGCCACGCGCGCGGCCCGCCGCGUUCUGCAGGGCGCGGGCGCGCGUGGGGGCGGGCCUCGGGGCGCGCGAGACACCGCGGGGAGAGCGCGGCCGCGGGAGCGGGAGGAGGUGCCCCGGCCCCGCCCCCGGCCCCGGCUCCGUCCCGCCCGGAGGACUGGCCGCGCGACUCCGCCCCCGGGCCCCGGCCCCGCCCCCAGGCCCCGGCCCCGCCCCCAGGCCCCGCCCCCGGCUCCGCCCCAGACCCCGACCCCGACCCGCCCGGGGGACUGGCCCGCACGACUCCGCCCCCGGGCCCCGGCCCCGCCCCCAGGCCCCGCCUCAAGCCCCGCCCCCGCCUCCAGCCCCGCCCCUUCCCAGGCCCGGCUCCGCCCCCGACCCCGCCCCGCCCCGGGGACUGGCCCGCGCGACUCCGCCCUCGGCCGCCCGGGCUUUCACUUUCGCUUUCUUGCGGGCGGCCCCAGACCCUAUCCGCGGAGGGACCGAGACGGACGCCAGCCCCGCCGCCCGCCGCCCGCCGCUGCGGACACGGUAACCUCGCGGCCCCCCUCGCGCCGAGUCCGGGGAGAGGGCCCGGCCCAGCUCGCUCCGCUCCGCCCAGCCCAGCCCAGCCCAGCCCAGCCGGCCCUCGGUUCCCUGCUGGCCGCGGGCCGGGACAGCCCUGCAGCUCGGCUUUUGGGAAAGGGGGCGUGGAGGGAGCCGGGAGGGAGGGGGUGGCGGUCUCGCCCGGCUGA